Molecule: ribosomal RNA, 393 nt
Filed under: uncultured bacterium
Lineage: Bacteria
Description: partial 16S ribosomal RNA
Rfam family: Bacterial small subunit ribosomal RNA
Source: RNAcentral
AUACGGAGGAUCCGAGCGUUAUCCGGAUUUAUUGGGUUUAAAGGGUGCGUAGGUGGUUUGAUAAGUCAGCGGUGAAAGUUUGCAGCUUAACUGUAAAAAUGCCGUUGAAACUGUCGGACUUGAGUGUAAAUGAGGUCGGCGGAAUGCGUGGUGUAGCGGUGAAAUGCAUAGAUAUCACGCAGAACUCCGAUUGCGAAGGCAGCUUACUAAGCUACAACUUACACUGAAGCACGAAAGCGUGCAGAUCAAACAGGAUUAGAUACCCUGGUAGUCCACGCAGUAAACGAUGAUUACUAGCUGUUUGCAAUACACAGUAAGCGGCACAGCGAAAGCGUUAAGUAAUCCACCUGGGGAGUACGGCGUCAACGUUGAAACUCAAAUGAAUUGACGGGG